UUGGGAGUGAGACCGGGUACAGUCCCCUCCAAAUGUAUUGGAACGAGACAAUGUUCUCAAAACCUGGACAAAGACGACUAAAACUAUCUGCGUGGCUGGAUUGCAGUAGAGGUACGAGGUUUAAUAUUGGUGAACCAAUCCUUUAACUUGUCGGUAAAAGAGAGAUGUGGAUCACAGUGGAUGAUGGGAGUGUGAGCAGUGGAGCAGAGCAGCUGGGGUUUAGGAGUCUGAUCACAGCCUACCGUAAGUGGGCUCCUGAGGGGGGCUUUAGUUACCAGCACCUGCCUGAGUGGGUGUGUGAAGAGAUGACCAAGAACAGAUUACAAUAACAUUACAUUUCCCAAUUUCCUCCAGAUUCUGUUCUAGCUGUACAAUAAAAUCAGUUGCAUCGA
Long non-coding RNA from Micropterus dolomieu (smallmouth bass), 392 nucleotides. RefSeq lists it as uncharacterized. The transcript is spliced from 2 exons. The record is from RefSeq and is a predicted model, not a curated record. NCBI's taxonomy places the organism in Eukaryota, Metazoa, Chordata, Actinopteri, Centrarchiformes, Centrarchidae.